Molecule: long non-coding RNA, 251 nt
Filed under: Elaeis guineensis (African oil palm)
Lineage: Eukaryota; Viridiplantae; Streptophyta; Magnoliopsida; Arecales; Arecaceae
Description: long non-coding RNA (EGUI_LNC058946)
Source: RNAcentral
CGAAACUUAUUACCUCAAGGAGCUCGGAGGAGCAGACCUCCCGCGACCAUGGAGCUCGAAAAACUUGCGAGUGUAUUACCGAUAACUUUAUUUUAAAUAAAAGUUUCAUAUCUACAUGUCUCCUCUCUUGGCGUGAGCCUAUAUCGACAGGACAGUCAAAACAAACCGUGCCGGGUGCAGGAGGAGAACUUCAUCUCGACAAAGUCGAAGGCCCGGCUCUCCUUAGAUCAGAUGGGGGGGAGAGGCCAAAC